CCCUUAGAUGUUCUGGGCUGCACGCGCGCUACACUGAUGCGAUCAACAAGUUUUUCCUAUGUCGAUAGACACGGGUAAUCUUUUGAACUUGCAUCGUGAUGGGGAUAGAUUAUUGUAAUUAUUAAUCUUCAACGAGGAAUUCCUAGUAGGUGCAAAUCAUCAGUUUGCAUCGAUUACGUCCCUGCCCUUUGUACACACCGCCCGUCGCUGCUACCGAUUGGUUGAUCUGGUGAAUUAUUCGGACUGCCGGCUGAAGGGGUUUCCUCAUCUGCCAGCGGAAAGUCUUGUUAACCCUAUCAACUAGAGGAAGCAGAAGUCGUAACA
RNAcentral lists this ribosomal RNA (324 nucleotides) under uncultured eukaryote. Its description in RNAcentral is "partial 18S ribosomal RNA". It matches the Rfam family "Eukaryotic small subunit ribosomal RNA", at positions 1470 to 1796 of the family's 1831-position model. The record is from RNAcentral.